GCAGGCACACCGGGUGCAAGCAGAAGCCAUCCAGGCCGUAAAGAUGAUGAAGGCCCCACGAAAAAUAAGUCCGUUAAGAGCGGAAGGAUAUGACGGUACCGGCAAAAGAAGCCCCGGCUAACUUCGUGCCAGCAGCCGCGGUAAUACGAAGGGGGCAAGCGUUGCUCGGAAUCAUUGGGCGUAAAGGGCAGGUAGGCGGACUCAUAAGUCGGGGUGAAAUCCUGGAGCUUACCUCCAGAACUGCCCAGAAUACUGAGAGUCUUGAGUCCUGGAGAGGGGAGUGGAAUUUGCGAGUGUAGAGGUGAAAUUCGUAGAUAUUCGCAAGAACACCCAAGGGCGAAGGCGGCUCACGGACCCGGUACUGACAGUUGAACUACGAAA
This 381-nucleotide ribosomal RNA is filed under the name uncultured bacterium. RNAcentral describes it as "bacterial SSU rRNA". It matches the Rfam family "Bacterial small subunit ribosomal RNA", at positions 388 to 758 of the family's 1533-position model. The record is from RNAcentral.